RNAcentral lists this ribosomal RNA (253 nucleotides) under uncultured bacterium. Its description in RNAcentral is "partial 16S ribosomal RNA". It matches the Rfam family "Bacterial small subunit ribosomal RNA", at positions 524 to 776 of the family's 1533-position model. The record is from RNAcentral.
UACGUAGGGUGCGAGCGUUGUCCGGAAUUAUUGGGCGUAAAGAGCUUGUAGGCGGUUUGUCGCGUCUGCCGUGAAAAUCCGGGGCUCAACCCCGGACUUGCGGUGGGUACGGGCAGACUAGAGUGUGGUAAGGGAGACUGGAAUUCCUGGUGUAGCGGUGAAAUGCGCAGAUAUCAGGAGGAACACCGAUGGCGAAGGCAGCUCGCUGGGACGUGACUGACGCUGAGACGCGAAAGCGUGGGGAGCAAACAGG